GGGGUUGUGGCUCAGCGGUAGAGCACUCACCUAGCAUGCACAGGGGUUAGAUCCUCAACAACACAUUUAAAAAAAAAAAAAUAUAUAUAUAUAUAUAUAUAUCUCCAAUCAAUUGGGCUGAAGAUGUGGCUCAAGCAGUAGUGCGCUUUCCUGGCAUGCGUGGGGCGCUGGGUUCGAUCCCCAACACCA
This 189-nucleotide transfer RNA is filed under the name Marmota monax (woodchuck). RNAcentral's name for it is "tRNA.Ala". The record is from RNAcentral. Lineage: Eukaryota; Metazoa; Chordata; Mammalia; Rodentia; Sciuridae.